Molecule: ribosomal RNA, 877 nt
Filed under: uncultured bacterium
Lineage: Bacteria
Description: bacterial SSU rRNA
Rfam family: Bacterial small subunit ribosomal RNA
Source: RNAcentral
UGGAACUGCCAUCAAAACUUUUCAGCUAGAGUUUGAUAGAGGAAAGCAGAAUUUCUAGUGUAGAGGUGAAAUUCGUAGAUAUUAAAAAGAAUACCAAUUGCGAAGGCAGCUUUCUGGAUCAUUACUGACACUGAGGAACGAAAGCAUGGGUAGCGAAGAGGAUUAGAUACCCUCGUAGUUCAUGCCGUAAACGAUGUGUGUUAGACGUUGGAAAUUUAUUUUCAGUGUCGCAGCGAAAGCGAUAAACACACCGCCUGGGGAGUACGACCGCAAGGUUAAAACUCAAAUGAAUUGACGGGGACCCGCACAAGUAGUGGAGCAUGUGGUUUAAUUCGAAGAUACGCGCAGAACCUUACCAACACUUGACAUGUUCGUCGCGACUUUAAGAGAUUAAAGUUUUCGGUUCGGCCGGACGAAACACAGGUGCUGCAUGGCUGUCGUCAGCUCGUGUCGUGAGAUGUUGGGUUAAGUCCCGCAACGAGCGCAACCCUCACUUUUAGUUGCCAUCAUUUAGUUGGGCACUCUGAAAGAACUGCCAGUGAUAAGCUGGAGGAAGGUGGGGAUGACGUCAAGUCCUCAUGGCCCUUACGUGUUGGGCUACACACGUGCUACAAUGGUAUCUACAACAGGAAGCAAAACAGCGAUGUUAAGCAAAUCCUUAAAAGAUACCUCAGUUCGGAUUGCACUCUGCAACUCGAGUGCAUGAAGCUGGAAUUACUAGUAAUCGUGGAUCAGCGUGCCACGGUGAAUGCGUUCCCGGGUCUUGUACACACCGCCCGUCACACCAUAGGAAUUGAUUCUACCUUAAGGCAAGGUUUAAUACCCUUGACCACGGUAUAGUCAGCGACUGGGGUGAAGUCGUAACAAGGUAGCCGUA